RNAcentral lists this ribosomal RNA (294 nucleotides) under uncultured Pseudomonas sp. RNAcentral's name for it is "partial 16S ribosomal RNA". It matches the Rfam family "Bacterial small subunit ribosomal RNA", at positions 506 to 799 of the family's 1533-position model. The record is from RNAcentral. Lineage: Bacteria; Pseudomonadati; Pseudomonadota; Gammaproteobacteria; Pseudomonadales; Pseudomonadaceae.
UGCCAGCAGCCGCGGUAAUACGAAGGGUGCAAGCGUUACUCGGAAUUACUGGGCGUAAAGCGUGCGUAGGUGGUCGUUUAAGUCCGUUGUGAAAGCCCUGGGCUCAACCUGGGAACUGCAGUGGAUACUGGGCGACUAGAGUGUGGUAGAGGGUAGCGGAAUUCCUGGUGUAGCAGUGAAAUGCGUAGAGAUCAGGAGGAACAUCCAUGGCGAAGGCAGCUACCUGGACCAACACUGACACUGAGGCACGAAAGCGUGGGGAGCAAACAGGAUUAGAUACCCUGGUAGUCCACG